This 575-nucleotide ribosomal RNA is filed under the name uncultured bacterium. RNAcentral's name for it is "partial 16S ribosomal RNA". It matches the Rfam family "Bacterial small subunit ribosomal RNA", at positions 54 to 619 of the family's 1533-position model. The record is from RNAcentral.
CAUGCAAGUCGAACGGUAACAGGAGAGAGCUUGCUCUCUUGCUGACGAGUGGCGGACGGGUGAGUAAUACAUGGGAAUCUGCCCUGAGGUGGGGGAUAACCCGGGGAAACUCGGGCUAAUACCGCAUGAUCUCUUCGGAGCAAAGUGGGGGACCUUCGGGCCUCACGCCUUGGGAUGAGCCCAUGUCUGAUUAGCUAGUUGGUGGGGUAAAGGCCUACCAAGGCAACGAUCAGUAGCCGGCCUGAGAGGGUGUACGGCCACACUGGGACUGAGACACGGCCCAGACUCCUACGGGAGGCAGCAGUGGGGAAUAUUGGACAAUGGGGGCAACCCUGAUCCAGCAAUGCCGCGUGUGUGAAGAAGGCCUGCGGGUUGUAAAGCACUUUUAUCGGGGAAGAAUAGGUUGUCGUUAAUAGCGCCAACACUUGACAUUACCCGUUGAAUAAGCACCGGCUAACUCCGUGCCNNCAGCCGCGGUAAUANNNAGGUGCGAGCGUUAAUCNNAUUACUGGGCGUAAAAGGUGNGGNNCCGGAGCGUAUAUUUNUUGUGUAAAACCCCCCCCNGGCUACCGGGA